GAGGGAGAAACCUGCUGCCGCUCGCCGGCUCUUUGUCUGCUCGGGGACUUGGAACAAAAGGGGAAACUCUGAUGAACUCUCUCCAUCCUCCUCCUCUCUGACGCCUGGUUAUCUUUCCUCUCACAACUUUGCUGGAGAGACUCUCUCCAGCGCUAGGCACCCAACAAGUUCGGGGGCUUUAGGAACUGGAGUUAGAGAACCAUCUCUUUUAGAAUGGAUAAAAGAGGGGGGAAAAGAAGGUGCCAGAAUGAUGAUGGGCAACAUCUAGGAAGCAAGACAAUGGCUAGAAUACCUUUCUAGCAAGGUACCUUCUCCAGGCUGCAUUGUUUUUGUUGGACAUUUCUGACAAUGGAUAUAGCCAGGCCAAACAAUUACGGAGUGAAAGACGCUAACCUUCGCUUGGGAUUAUCGUUUAAGAAUUGAGUUUUGGAUAUGACAUGACUAUUAUGAAGGAUACUGUUACUGUUGGAAAUACAACUUCUUGAUCACUGGGAAUUCUCUGCCUUAUGGAAGAAGUCCAAGUGUCAAACACUAGAGAGAUAUGCGGUGAUUCAGAGUUGAAAUGGGAAGAAAAUGAUACCUGGAAAGAAAAUAUGGCUUCAGGUAAUGACUAAAUCCCAUUUUACUGGAUGGCCACUGAAGCAUGAUCACAAGACAGUCAGAAUGGUGGAUAAGUGCUCCUCAGGCAAAAUCCAUCUACUGAAAGAAACUACUGCAUUGCUCUCUCCAGAAGAAAAUGUAUCUUUGAUAUUAAAAUGUUAUGAAGGAGUACAAAUGAGAGAGGAGAUCUGUCAAAUGGCACUGGCUAUGAUAAAGGAGGAAUGCCACUUUUCCUAG
This 837-nucleotide long non-coding RNA is filed under the name Vombatus ursinus (common wombat). Its description in RNAcentral is "lncRNA (ENSVURG00010001442.1)". Lineage: Eukaryota; Metazoa; Chordata; Mammalia; Diprotodontia; Vombatidae. The record is from RNAcentral.